UCUCCGUAGGUGAACCAGCGGAGGGAUCAUUACCGAGUUAUUUUACUUCCAAACCCCUGUGAACUUAUACCUUUACUGUUGCUACGGCGGGUUAACGCCCCGUAAAGCCCGCGCGGGCCGCCGGAACUAGGCGCCCCCCGGGGGCCCCAAACUCAUGCAUCUUUUUUAUAGCAUGUCUGUGCUGAUACACAAAUAAAAGAAUCAAAACUUUCAACAACGGAUCUCUUGGUUCUGGCAUCGAUGACGAACGCAGCAGAUCGGAAGCGCACACGCCGGAAC
Molecule: unclassified non-coding RNA, 279 nt
Filed under: plant metagenome
Description: partial contains small subunit ribosomal RNA, internal transcribed spacer 1, and 5.8S ribosomal RNA
Source: RNAcentral